UUAAAGGGCUCCUGCAGGAGCUGAGUGCUGACCCAGCCGAGUGCUCCGCCAUUCAGAGCUGAGCAGAGAAAGGGAAAGCAGAUAAGAUGCUCUGCUGAAGCUAUUGCACUAUAAGAUGUUACUGCAUACCUCUGGAGCAGCUGGGACUUGAACCUGAACUUCCUGAUCCAGAGAUAGGGACAGGGCCUACAAUCUACUAUAAUGUUUAUGACAUUGUUACAACCAGAUAAAGGGCCUCAAGAUGAUGGGGAAGAUGACAGGAAACUGUAACCAAACAACAAAG
Molecule: long non-coding RNA, 283 nt
Organism: Rhincodon typus (whale shark)
Lineage: Eukaryota; Metazoa; Chordata; Chondrichthyes; Orectolobiformes; Rhincodontidae
Exons: 3
Source: RefSeq, a predicted model, not a curated record